Pocillopora verrucosa is the source of this 1862-nucleotide long non-coding RNA. RefSeq lists it as uncharacterized. The record is from RefSeq and is a predicted model, not a curated record. NCBI's taxonomy places the organism in Eukaryota, Metazoa, Cnidaria, Anthozoa, Scleractinia, Pocilloporidae.
CGGCUUUCAGCUGACUCUAAAAAUACCUGCUAAGUGAUAUCUUAUAUCGGAGUGCAAGCAUAAAUCGGGCGAUCUCGGACUGCGGCCUCGUUUUAAACACUACCAGAUUGUUCGAUGGCAACUGCAGUGCAAGAAAAUUACCCAACUCUGAUCAUUUAUGGAGUUUGCUUUAUGGUCUGCCUGCAUGUGGCAGCUCUUGGAUUUUGGGUUUUCAAAGUAUUUACUACUCCAGAUAAAGAACAAACUUUAAAAGGUCAAAAGGGUCAUUGAGAGGAUACACAGCAGAGAAUGUACAGGAAUGUUGAUUCUGCGACUGGACUUUUGGAUCAAGGAAAAAAGAUUGGUGUUUGGAAAUCUUAGUUUGUACAAGUUGGUUCUCCUAAAUUGGACAACACAUUUUCAUGGUUGGAAUGUUUUUGUGCCUUUGAUGCAACAAAGGAUGAGAAAAGAAGAUGAAAACAAGGGCUGUUCAGACCAGUGUAAAAAGAGAUUCUAUCAAGUCCUGUGCUGAGCACAAGUGUUGAAGUUAUACUUGAGCUGUGAGCAGGCUCCUUCAAGAGCUGUGCGGAGCACAAGUAUUGAAGCUUUAAAUUAAGUAGUAAUUAGUGAGGCACUAACAACAUGUCAGCACAGUUUGCUUGCCUGUUCUUCUUUAAAAGCUUCCAUGCUUGUGCUGUAGUUUCUGUGGUAACCUGCUAGAAGCUUAUUCAAAUUUUAAGAUGUGCUAUAAUUUGUUUGUUUUAGAGAUUGGAUAUUUUAAUAAUUGUAUUUUUUAUGCACAGCUCAGACUUGUGGUAAGCACCAAGCACUUACAAAUGAAGUAUUUAAGUACUUGUCAACCAGACAACUUACCCUUUUGAGAGAAGAUGCUAUUUUAAAGUCAAAGUUCUCACUUCAGGCUCUGACUCAAAGUUGAAAAAUUUUCAUGAGCCAUUUAUUCCCAAGAUCUCAACUAGUAAUUUUGCCUGCCAUACAAUUCUAAUGAUGGUAGUUGUAAUUGAGAUUUUUCUUACUCUCAUCACUUGUUUGCUUGAUAUUUAAGGAGAAUGUCUGUCGUGGCCAACUAUGGGAGUUAAACAGUUAAAGCCAUAAUUUCCAAGUGAAUCAUGUGAUAGCAAUGUUAGUUAAGUUGUGGUAACAUUGAUUCAACGAUGAAGAUUCAAGAGCAUUUGUUUUGCAUGUUAACAACGCAUCCUAAUUUGUUUCACCCACUGCUUCUGUUGCUUGUACACUCUAUGUUUGAAGUAGUUUUGUGGUAUGUUAAAUAGUAUCAAUUUAAUGGCCCUUGCUUUUGUGGAGUGGUGGCAGUUGCAGAGAAAUCAACUAGGAGCAAUGUGUCAACUCUUUCCUAGGACAAAAAAAUGGUCAGUAUAGAGAAGUAGAGUUUCUUUGGAUUACCCAAACUCUUUCAAAAGGAUUGAAAUUACAACAGAAUGCAUUAAUGAUUCAACAGAUUAAAUCUAUUUUGGUAACAGAGACUUUCUUCAAAUUAGUUUCUGUUCUUCUCUAAUGGAGGGAAGUCCAGAAAAGAACUCUUAAUUUCUGUUACCUUGGUGGCAGUGAAUUAAGUUUAAUAUUCACUCAGAAAUUCUCAGGGGUAACCUGCAUGUGAGUUCUUUUCACAAUUUCAGUACAUAACAUGGGAAAGUGGGGAGGAAACUGCAUGAAGUUAUUUGCUGGAGGGUGUUAUUCCAGUACCAAAACCAACUUGCUGGUAAAUGAAAGACAGCUAAAGGGGGUGUAGUGAAUGUAAUGAUAAAUAUCUCAAAUUUUAUUUACAUAACCAGCGGAAUCUGAAAUACAUGUAAAAAGGAUGUAAGUAACAGUAAUUCACAAUGACAAACAAGUUAAAUAAAAAUUGA